RNAcentral lists this long non-coding RNA (693 nucleotides) under Bos taurus (domestic cattle). Its description in RNAcentral is "long non-coding RNA NONBTAT022254". Lineage: Eukaryota; Metazoa; Chordata; Mammalia; Artiodactyla; Bovidae. The record is from RNAcentral.
UUCCCUGGAGCCAGGCUUUUCUAACCAUCUCAGAUCAGGCGUCUGAACUUCACUGCCCUUUCCUGGAGUAGGAAGAACUCUCUGCAUGAACUGUCAGGGUGAUCUCUCUGUCCUUCGAUGCCAUCAGUUCUCAUCCUAAACGUCUUGAGAGGGUCAAGCGGGUGGCUUUUAAAAUCAAUGUCUCGAACUCCAGAAGACGUCGUCCACCCUGAGAAAACUAAGUAGGCAGGCUUUCUCCUCAGAGCCUUCUCUGCCCUCGUUUCCUCCCUUGCCCCUUCCCCACCUCACCUGUGUCCAUUCCCUGCCUUUCCUUCCUUUGCUAAGCUCAGGAAAAAAUCUGAUAAACUCCUUAGGGCAUAAGUUCUAAGCAAAAGAAGGGAACUUUGAGGGUGGGAUCUGAGGCUUCUUGGAGCCAGUGCAGAAGGAAUUUGAGGGUGGGAAGGAGCCUUGCUGAUUCUCACAGAUUCAGACAUUAUUAGACCAGGUUUACAUCACACAUUGUUUCUCUUUAAUCAAUAUCAAACAAUAUAUUUCAGUUCAGUAAAUACUAGAGUGUCGGAAAACAAGCUAGGUGCUUGUUGGUCACAGUUCUGGAGGAGAGACAAAUAAAUGUCUAUUUUUAAAAAAUGAUACAGAAAUAAAUACUCCUUAAAAAUGCCAUAGAAGUCUAUGCAAUGUAUCUUCUAAAACAUU